GCCUACCAGGCUCCUCAGUCCAUGGAAUUUUCCAGGCAAGAGUACUGGAAUGGGUUGCCAUUUCCUUCUCCAGGGGAUCUUCCCAACCCAGGGAUCAACCUGGGUCUCCCGCACUGCAGGCAGAUGCUUUACCGUCUAAGCCACCAAGGAAGCUAAAUCUAUAUUCAAAGUGGGAAAACAGAGACAGGCCCAGAGCAAAACUCCAUUUAUCACCUGACGUCCAAACCACGGAGUGUUCUGAAUGCCCAGAGCUUAUCUCACUUCGGAUCCAGCUUCCAGUAACCCCAUUUAUUUUCUCUAAUUCAGUUACAUGGUGUAAACAAGAACACAAUUGCUGCUGCUGCUAAGUCGCUUCAGUCGUGUCCAAUUCUGUGCGACC
This 379-nucleotide transfer RNA is filed under the name Bos mutus (wild yak). Its description in RNAcentral is "lncRNA (ENSBMUG00000004331.1)". Lineage: Eukaryota; Metazoa; Chordata; Mammalia; Artiodactyla; Bovidae. The record is from RNAcentral.